RNAcentral lists this unclassified non-coding RNA (787 nucleotides) under Hevea brasiliensis (rubber tree). Lineage: Eukaryota; Viridiplantae; Streptophyta; Magnoliopsida; Malpighiales; Euphorbiaceae. The record is from RNAcentral.
UAUGAACCUCCAUUAGUUCCAAGUUAUUUCUCUCACCAGAUUGCCUCGAACCAUUCCCUUCAUUAUUUUCAUCAGUUGGUGAAAGAAUAGAGUAACCUUUUGAUGCAAACUUGGCUUCUGAUGACUCCGCUUCAUUUGGCUGGUCGGUAACGGAAGGCACCCAUAUUGCCAGCCCAACAGCACCCAUGAGAGGAAGCAAAAUUCUAUAAUCUUUUGUCAACUCAAACAAUAAAAGCACUGACGUCAAAGGCACUGAGCAAACUGAAGCUAGUGUAGCAGCCAUCCCCACCAGUGCAUAUGCCUGCGGCUGGGCAAUAGCAGCAUUCCCUGGAAUAGCUGAAUUAAUUAGUUCCCCGGCUAACCCUCCAAAUACAGCACCUACAGCAGCACCUAUCAUUAAGCUUGGUGCAUACAAUCCACCAACAAGGCCAGACCCUUUGCACAAAGCAGUGGCCACGACUUUUGCAGCAACUAAUUGAGCUAGCCAUCCAAUUCCAGGUGCAGAUGCAGUUUUCCCAGUAUGUAGGAUUUCAUCAACAUUAGUGAAACCCCAAUAGAGAAUUCCAGGAUAUCUCAGAGCUAUUACACCAGCUCCUAAACCCCCCAAAGCAGGGCAGACAACAUCAGAAAGUCCAAACUUUUCCUUUAGGAACUGAAAUGCUUUAGAGAACCAGGCAACUAGCCGAGUAAACACCACACUUACUGCUCCACACAGCAUCCCCAGUAUUAGAUAUAAAGGUAACUCAGCAGCAGAUCUCAUAUCAUACGUGGGCACAUUGAAAGCCUG